CCAAUAGCGUAUAUUAAAGUUGCUGCAGUUAAAAAGCUCGUAGUUGAAUUUCGGGACCGAUAUGUCGGUCGUGCCUCGGUACGUACUGGCAUCGUCGGUUUCUACCUUCUGACGAACCAUGAUGUCAUUAAUUUGGUGUCUUGGGGAAUCAGGACUGUUACUUUGAAAAAAUUAGAGUGUUUAAAGCAGGCUCACGCUGGAAUACAUUAGCAUGGAAUAAUGAAAUAGGACGUUUGAUUCUAUUUUGUUGGUUUCUAGGAUCGACGUAAUGAUUAAUAGGGAUAGUUGGGGGCAUUAGUAUUCAAUUGUCAGAGGUGAAAUUCUUGGAUUUAUUGAAGACUAACUACUGCGAAAGCAUUUGCCAAGGAUGUUUUCAUUAAUCAAGAACGAAAGUUAGGGGAUCGAAGACGAUCAGAUACCGUCGUAGUCUUAACCAUAAACUAUGCCGACUAGGGAUCGGAUGAUGUUAAUUUUUUAAUGACUCAUUCGGCGCCUUACG
This 499-nucleotide ribosomal RNA is filed under the name uncultured Glomeromycotina. Its description in RNAcentral is "partial small subunit ribosomal RNA". It matches the Rfam family "Eukaryotic small subunit ribosomal RNA", at positions 591 to 1092 of the family's 1831-position model. Lineage: Eukaryota; Fungi; Glomeromycota. The record is from RNAcentral.